Molecule: long non-coding RNA, 3113 nt
Organism: Oreochromis aureus
Lineage: Eukaryota; Metazoa; Chordata; Actinopteri; Cichliformes; Cichlidae
Source: Ensembl
GUGAGUAUUAAAGCUGAAAAUCCUUUUUAUGUUUUUAUGAUUCACAAAAGAUGCAGUGGCCAUGUUUUUCCCUAUUUUCGCUCACUUUAGGGUUUGUUCACAGUAGGGGUGGAGCCAACUCGAAUACGGUAUUCGGAAAGACACAAAUAACGUGUUUUUCACGAAUACUUUAAAAAAUAUUUGUAUACGGGAACAAGAAAAACUUUAUAUCAAAAAGCUUCCUUAUGAGACCGCACUGCAUGCCCGGAUGAGUGAGUGACGUGUAAAAGGUGACUGACACCGGCUGCUCCACACAGCAACAGAGAAGCCUCGGCUAAGCCUUGAAAGACUGAACUGCAUCACUAUUUUUGAUCAAUAGAUUUUUUUUUAACCUUAACUGGGUUCCGGAGGCAGUUUAUAACUUUCACGAAGAUCGGGAGAUUGAUCAAUUACGCUGCACUAUUGACGCCUGCAGUCGGGUGCUCUCAUGUUCGCUCUGUUUACGUAGCUCUGUUAGCUGACAUGGCUGGUAAGGACAUGAGGAGGAAACAGGAGGAGCUGUGUGAGGCUACUAAAGGCAGUGGAACCCUCACCAGCUGGAUUACAAACAGCACAGAUGGACAGCAAGUGGAGAGUGAUAGAUGAGAUGAGGAGAUGAAGGAGGAAGACGACAAGGCCACCUCACAACAGUGAUGUAGUAUGAUGCGAUCCCAUAUUAGAUUCUUGAUGAAUGUGUGUUGUUGUUAUUCAGCCUGGUUCAAUGUGCCCCUUUUUAACUUUGAGCACCCGCCCCUUUAAACGUCUCUGCACGGCCCUGUUCUGUCUUUUACAGACAGCAAGAUAUAGGGGGUGUCCAAAUUCUUGGGCUGCAUCCUCCUGAGGACGCAUUUGUAGGCCGAUUACGUCACAGCGACGUGACGAAGGCUGUCCAAAUUCGUCGACUCCUCUGAAUGCAGCCGACAAAUGCGUCCUCCUUUUCCCCGAAUUUGAAGGAUGGGUCGGGUGUGUCCUGCAUGGCCCACCAUAUCCCAGAAUUCAUAGCGCGACCCAGCCAAUUCCAGUUUUCAACAAUGGCGGCCACUAGUAAGUUUUUAAUAUUAGUGUUAUUACUCUUUCUGGGUCACAAAAUAAACUUUUAACAUAUUUUCAGGCGAGAAUGUAGCUGUGUAAACUUCAAAUAUCUGCUUGCUUUAUCAAGAUAUCACAUAUUUGCAUAAGUGCUCCGACGUUUUCGGAGACGUCUGUUAUCCACCAGCUCGAUAGCUAGCUGGGAGCUCGAGGGUCACUAGAGCCGCCGAGAACGGCAAACUCCCGGCACAUCAUUUUCAGAUCACCGCAGUCUUUCGCUACUCAGGUUAAACGUAAUAUAUAAGUCACUUAGAUAACCUAAAAAUGUUAUUGUUUGGCUUUUUUCAGUAUUUUAUUAGUUCGUGAGUAAAUCGGUUUGGCUGAGAUUAAAGUUAUUAGAUAAAAUAAAACUUUAUUAAUCCCCCGGGUGGUUUUCACACAGCUGAAUAAACGUCAAACAGAAAACUGAUUAAACAGAAGUGUGAGAAUUUACACCAGUGUCCUGUUAUAUUUUAGAUAGCAAGGAGCAGACAGCUGAGUUUAUUAAACUCCACUGAGACAGCGGUGACGCAAAUCUGAAGGCUAGACCGUCCAAUUUCACAGCCGUUUACUUCUGGCCUACCCGACCUUCUGAGGACCCGGCCCACGUAGACCGCGAAGGCCGGGUCCUCAGGGGGAUGCAGCCCAUGAAUUUGGACACGACUAUAGGCUAUAGGCUAUAGCCCGUUGUCCAGUCACUCAUUAACUUAGCUGAAACUCCCCACAUGGAUUUGGGCAACCAAAUAGAAUAGAGUGUUGCUGGUGCUGAGCCAUCUCUUGGUCCUCCACCAGCCCAAAAAACUUGAUCAAGUUCUGUGUGGAAGCAUUUUACAUUCAGUGCAGCAGAUGAAACCAAACUGAUAUGUAAUGUGUGCAAAAGGUCAAAUCAGCAGAGGCAGAGAUAUCAAACAUCUGUCAACAUCUGUUAUGCAUAAGCAUCUUAUUCCGGGUAAUGUCUGCCAACCCCCCCUUACAAGCACCCCCCCACCAGCACCAAUUCAUCAUCACAGCCAUGUUCUGCCCCUGCAAGUCAGUUUCACUGUUCAGCGUCCUCUAACAAGGACGGGUGGCGGUGGGGUUCAUAAGGUUCACAAUGGUAUUUGUGUACAUGUGGUAGUUGUUGGUUUUAACCAUGGAUGAAGCAAUGGCUGUUAUGUUAUUUUCUUUUCAAUGACGUUCCUUGUUACAUGUUCAUUGCUGGAUUUAUGGAAAAACCAUCAACUAAUAUUGCUAAUCCAUAAUUAUUAAAAUGGAUAUAAGUAAAGAAUACUUACAAUAUAACAUUAAUUAGAAGUGUAAUGGAUGGCAAAAAAAUGGAUUUAUACGCCUAUUUUGAAUUUUAGUCAAAUACAAAUACAAAUACAUUUCCCCCUCAACAAAUACAAAUACAGAUACAAAUACCGGCUGCUUUGCACAUCUCUAAUUCACAGUUAAUGUUCUCUCUUGUGAUUCUUUUCUGAAACUGCACAAGUCAAGAAAAAAAAAGUAGAGAAGAGGCUGUGAUAAAAAACAAAUUAUGAUACCAGUUACAUUGCGCUGUUUUCAGAUUAAAAGACCCCAAAAUGCUAAAAAACAGACAAAAAAGCUGUUUUGUUUUCUUUCUUUACCAUGGAGAUGUGUAGAGUGUGAUGUCCGACCAGUCUGCCGUUUGCUGUAAAGAAGGGAGUUCCAAAGCUCCUCAUAGAUGCUGUGAGGAGCAAACAACCGACGUGGUUAAAGGCUGGUCGCGGAGUCCCGAUUAUUAUUUAUCUGUUUACUUGUUGUUGUUUUUUUAUUAUAGAUAUUUUUUUAUUGUUUAUAUGUUAUAAGUGUAAUCCAAAAUGUCAUGCCAUAAACUAUCUCUAGCCGUUUUAUUGCUGGUGACAGUCAACUGAUAAACAUAAUCAGUCAAAGUCCAUCAUGAGACCAAUCCCUUCACUGGAAAUGACAAUUAAUCUUUCAAUGACAUGUAGCUUGCAGAUGUAAGCUUUCCAUCAAAUAACAGUAUAAAAACCAAAUCGGGCUGUUCGAAGCAGUGAGUAUUAAAG